Molecule: ribosomal RNA, 460 nt
Filed under: uncultured bacterium
Lineage: Bacteria
Description: partial 16S ribosomal RNA
Rfam family: Bacterial small subunit ribosomal RNA
Source: RNAcentral
CCUACGGGUGGCAGCAGUGAGGAAUAUUGGUCAAUGGACGGAAGUCUGAACCAGCCAUGCCGCGUGCAGGAUGACGGCUCUAUGAGUUGUAAACUGCUUUUGUACAAGGGUAAACCUGAAUACGUGUAUUCCGCUGAAAGUACUGUACGAAUAAGGAUCGGCUAACUCCGUGCCGGCAGCCGCGGUAAUACGGAGGAUCCAAGCGUUAUUCGGAUUUAUUGGGUGUAAAGGGUGCGUAGGCGGAGUGAUAAGUUAGAGGUGAAAUGUCCGAGCUUAACUCGGGAACUGCCGCUAAUACUGUUGAUCUAGAGAGUAGAUGCGGUAGGCGGAAUGCAUGGUGUAGCGGUGAAAUGCUUAGAGAUCAUACAGAACACCGAUUGCGAAGGCAGCUUACUAAGCUAUAUCUGACGUUGAGGCACGAAAGCGUGGGGAGCAAACAGGAUUAGAUACCCCUGUAGUC